AAAUUGAAGAGUUUGAUCAUGGCUCAGAUUGAACGCUGGCGGCAGGCCUAACACAUGCAAGUCGAACGGUAACAGGAAGCAGCUUGCUGCUUCGCUGACGAGUGGCGGACGGGUGAGUAAUGUCUGGGAAACUGCCUGAUGGAGGGGGAUAACUACUGGAAACGGUAGCUAAUACCGCAUAACGUCGCAAGACCAAAGAGGGGGGACCUUCGGGCCUCUUGCCAUCGGAUGUGCCCAGAUGGGAUUAGCUUGUUGGUGGGGUAACGGCUCACCAAGGCGACGAUCCCUAGCUGGUCUGAGAGGAUG
RNAcentral lists this ribosomal RNA (306 nucleotides) under Escherichia coli. RNAcentral's name for it is "partial 16S ribosomal RNA". It matches the Rfam family "Bacterial small subunit ribosomal RNA", at positions 1 to 302 of the family's 1533-position model. The record is from RNAcentral. Lineage: Bacteria; Pseudomonadati; Pseudomonadota; Gammaproteobacteria; Enterobacterales; Enterobacteriaceae.